GAGUGGCGAACGGGUGAGUAAUACAUCGGAACGUGUCCAGUAGCGGGGGAUAACCUCUCGAAAGAGAGGCUAAUACCGCAUACGUCCUACGGGAGAAAGAGGGGGAUCGCAAGACCUCUCACUAUUGGAGCGGCCGAUGUCGGAUUAGCUAGUUGGUGAGGUAAAGGCUUACCAAGGCGACGAUCCGUAGCUGGUCUGAGAGGACGACCAGCCACACUGGAACUGAGACACGGUCCAGACUCCUACGGGAGGCAGCAGUGGGGAAUUUUGGACAAUGGGGGAAACCCUGAUCAGCCAUGCCGCGUGGGUGAAGAAGGCCUUCGGGUUGUAAAGCCCUUUCGGUGGGGACGAAACGGUGCGUGCCAACACCACGCACUAAUGACGGUACCCACAGAAGAAGCACCGGCUAACUACGUGCCAGCAGCCGCGGUAAUACGUACGGUGCAGGCGUUAACUCGGAAUUACUGGGCGUAAAGCGUGCGCAGGCGGUUUGCUAAGACAGGUGUGAAAUCCCCGAGCUUAACUUGGGAACUGCGCUUGUAACUGGCAAGCUAGAGUGUGGCAGAGGGGGGUGGAAUUCCACGUGUAGCAGUGAAAUGCGUAGAGAUGUGGAGGAACACCGAUGGCGAAGGCAGCCCCCUGGGCUAACACUGACGCUCAUGCACGAAAGCGUGGGGAGCAAACAGGAUUAGAUACCCUGGUAGUCCACGCCCUAAACUAUGUCAACUGGUUGUCGGGGCAGCAAUGCCUUGGUAACGAAGCUAACGCGUGAAGUUGACCGCCUGGGGAGUACGGCCGCAAGGGUUAAAACUCAAAGGAAUUGACGGGGACCCCGCACAAGCGGUGGAUUAUGUGGAUUAAUUCGAUGCAACGCGAAAAACCUUACCUACCCUUGACAUGUACGGAACCCUCCAGAGAUGGAGGGGUGCCCGAAAGGGAGCCGUAACACAGGUGCUGCAUGGCUGUCGUCAGCUCGUGUCGUGAGAUGCUGGGUUAAGUCCCGCAACGAGCGCAACCCUUGUCAUUAGUUGCCACAUUCAGUUGGGCACUCUAAUGAGACUGCCGGUGACAAACCGGAGGAAGGUGGGGAUGACGUCAAGUCCUCAUGGCCCUUAUGGGUAGGGCUUCACACGUAAUACAAUGGUCGGUACAGAGGGUUGCCAACCCGCGAGGGGGAGCUAAUCCCAGAAAGCCGAUCGUAGUCCGGAUUGUUCUCUGCAACUCGAGAGCAUGAAGCCGGAAUCGCUAGUAAUCGCGGAUCAGCAUGUCGCGGUGAAUACGUUCCCGGGUCUUGUACACACCGCCCGUCACACCAUGGGAGUGGGUUUCACCAGAAGUAGUUAGCCUAACC
This 1351-nucleotide ribosomal RNA is filed under the name uncultured bacterium. RNAcentral describes it as "16S ribosomal RNA". It matches the Rfam family "Bacterial small subunit ribosomal RNA", at positions 93 to 1440 of the family's 1533-position model. The record is from RNAcentral.